GCUGAACUCAUUUACAUUUUCACUGAAAGUUCAUAAAUGUGCCUUUUUCUCCACAACCUCAGGAGCAUCUGCUGUGUUUGGACUUUUUCACAGUAGCCAUUCCAGCUAGUGUGAGAUGGUAUCUCAUUGUGGUUUUGAGUUGCAAUUCUCUGAUGAAGAGGGAUGUGGAGCAUUUUUUCAUAUGUUCGUUGGUCACUUCUAUGUCUUCUUCUGAGAAGUGUUUGUUCAUGCCUUUGCCAACUCUAUAAUAGAGUUAGCUUGUUCUUAUUUUUCCAGUUCUUCUAGAUGUGACAUCAGAUAGUUAAUUUGAGAUCUUUCUAACUUUGGAGGUAGGCUUCUCGACAUUUCCUCUUAACACUCUUUUUUGCUGCAUCUCAGAGAGUGUGGUAUGUUGUGUCUCUCCUUUCAUUUAUUUCAAAUAAUAUUUUGAUUUUGCCCUUAAAUUGAUUGUCUACCACCAAAUCUUUCUGGGGAAAGUUGUUUAAAUUGGGUGUAGUUUUGUGGUUUUGAGAGAUCUUUUUGAUGUGCUACUGGAUUCAUUUCUAUUGCUGCUGGGAUUAACUUCCAUUUUUAUUCCACUGUACUCUGAGAGUAUGGCUGGUAUGAUUUUGAUUUUUUAAAAUAACUUAAAUUUUUUUUAAUCUAUUAAAUCACCAAGUCCUGGAACAGGUUGUGUUAGCCCUUGAGGCAUUCAUCCAGCACUGUUUCAGAGAAAUCUCCAUUUCACUCUAUUCCUAUAUAUUAGUUAUUAAAAAAUACAUAAACCAGACUACUGCAAAAACAAGUUGACCUCUUUGUGUUCCUUGAACACAGUAGUGAAGGACCCCCCUGACUGGGCCUCAUGCCAAACAACUCAUUACAAAAAGAGCUAGAGACUCAGACUACGGGAAAGCAUCACAAGUCCUCUCCUUGUCUGUACACGGAUGGCUGGCCGAUUCUGGAGCCCAGGCUGUCGCUUCCCGCUGUGGUGAUGAAUCAGUCCUUCAUAGUCCGGGAAUAUACAGCCUCAUGAGCCAGACAGAGAGGAAGCAAAUCAAUUAACACACCAACAAAUUCUUCAGUCACUUGAAAACUAGGAAAUAGUGAUGUAUGCUGAUCAGGGAAUACUGUGGAGUGAACAAGAGAAUCAGGACAGCUGGUUGAGAUCAUCUGGAAAGUUGUUUCUGAGAUCUAAAUGAUAAGAAGCAAUCUGUGGCAUGAAUGUCAUAGGAAAGAGUGUCUCUGGCUGGAAAUACCUCCUAGCGUGAAGCCCCUCUGGCAGAAGUGCAAAAGUCCACACAUAACAAAAGACACCGUGGAUGAGUUUGGUGGCCAGCUCAAGGAUGCUGUGGAAUGAAGUGGGGGCAGUAGCCAGGGGCAGACCGUGGCAAGGAGGUAGAGUUUACAUUCCAUUGGGAAGCCUCUGAAAGUGGGCCAGGCAUGGUGGCUCAGCCUGUAAUCCCAACACUUUGAGAGGCCAAGACAGGCGGAUCACAAGGUCAGGAGAUCGAGACCAUCUUGGUUAACAUGGUGAAACCCCAUCUCUACUGAAAAGAAAUACAAAAAAUUAAUCAGGUGUAAUAGUAUGCCCCUUUAGUCAGAGGUUGGAGUGAGCCAAGAUCAUGCCACUGCAUUCCCGCCUGGGUGAUAGAGUGAGACUCUGUCUCAAAAAAAAUAAAAAAAUAAGUAAGUGAAAAAGUUAUAAAUGAUAAACCAGGCUAUGGCAGAGAAAAAUCGUAUAGUAUAGGAGAUCAAGAAAGGAAGUAAAUAAACUGGCUAGGUGGCUAUUGCUGUGAUCCAGGUGAAACAGCAUAGGAAAACUGCUAACACAAUGAGGCAGCGGGGAAAAGUGGGAGAAUCCACAGUAUGAUUUGGAAGUAGUGUUGCCAUCUAUGGUCGUGUGCUAUGACGAUGCCAAACAUCAAAGAUGAACCACAUAUACAAGGAUGGCACUAUGAAAUUACAAUGAAGGUAAAAAACUCUAUUGCCUAGUGACAUCCUGACUGUGGUAAGAUAGCAUAAAACAUUACGCAUAAAGCAUUACUCACAUAUUUGGGGACAUGCUGGUGUGGAGAAAUCCACUGUGUGACCAGUUGUAUAAAAUCAUAGCAGAAACAAUGAUGCACAAUACAUAAUACUUGAUAAUUGUAAUAAACGACUAUGUUACUGGUUUUGUAUUCACUAUAUUGUACUUCUAUUAUUGUUUUAAAGUUUACUUCUACUUUAAAAAAAAGUUAACUGUGAAACAUCUUCAGGCAGUUCCUUCAGGAGGUGUCUAGAGAAGGCAUUGUUAUCACAGGAGAUGACAGCUCUAUGCAUGUUAUUUCCCAUGAAGACCUCCCAGUUGGGCAAGAUGUGGAGGUGGAAGAUGCUGAUAUUGACAAUGCUGACCUGUGUAGGCCUAGGCUAGUGUGUGUUUCUGCCUUAGG
This is a long non-coding RNA of Callithrix jacchus (white-tufted-ear marmoset), 2408 nucleotides long. The record is from Ensembl. NCBI's taxonomy places the organism in Eukaryota, Metazoa, Chordata, Mammalia, Primates, Cebidae.